ACCAGGUACGGCGGCCAUUUCUGUCGGUCACUAGUGUAGCGAUGUUUUUAUCUCAACACACAUUUAAUGACCAAUAAGAUGAAGAAACAUAAUCCCACCUGCUACGAGGCCUCGGAGGCGACUGAUGCGGGAACGGGAUGCGAGCGAACGUGUUUCGGACAAUCCCCUCAAACUCAAAACUCCCAACGACUUGGUUGCCAUCUUGCGCUGCCGAGCGUCGACACAAAGACCGGAGAUUAACGACCGGGUACGAGUGCGCACGAAGUUAUGGCCACACUGAAAAGAUACUGAGUAGUCUAUCGACGCCGCAUAGCACCGCAUAGUGAGCACGCUUUUUCGUGAUGUACACAAGAACGCUUGAGUGUUGGUUCUUGUAUUUAUAUUGAAGAAGAACAUUGCUAUAGCUACCAUCCAAAGAGGAAGAAAAGCUUACUAAGUAACGAAACAGGAUGAGAAAGGAACACCAGAUAUAAUACUAAUUUCGUCUAGUAAGAACCAACGGUACUCUUCACGCGACUUUCGCAUCGUCAAACACCAUCAUCGUCGUGAAAUCGAGUCUAAAAAGCAAAGAGACAGAGACGAAAAGGCAGAUGAGACAACGAGGGUGGAUCCCAUAAUUCACCCCAAUAUAUCUGGCUAUCCUUCUCUUUACCAAGGUUUAACCGUCCCGAGCUCCUCGUAUCGCUUCUCUAGUUGGGUAAAGCAAUACCAAAGUGUAAUAAGCGAAUACAUCAGUAACGAAACAUAAGAUAAACACAUGUGGACUAAAAGCUCUUACUGGGGAAAUAUCGGUGUGAAGCUUAGACACAAGAUAAGAGAGU
Molecule: long non-coding RNA, 821 nt
Filed under: Cotesia glomerata
Lineage: Eukaryota; Metazoa; Arthropoda; Insecta; Hymenoptera; Braconidae
Description: uncharacterized LOC123265469, transcript variant X2
Source: RNAcentral